AACGAACGCUGGCGGCAUGCCUAACACAUGCAAGGCGAACGAGACCUUCGGGGCUAGUGGCGCAGGGGUGCGUAACGCGUGGGAACCUGCCCUUAGGUUCGGAAUAACUCCCCGAAAGGGGUGCUAAUACCGGAUAAUGUCUUCGGACCAAAGAUUUAUCGCCUUUGGAUGGGCCCGCGUUGGAUUAGCUAGUUGGUAGGGUAAAAGCCUACCAAGGCGACGAUCCAUAGCUGGUCUGAGAGGAUGAUCAGCCACACUGGGACUGAGACACGGCCCAGACUCCUACGGGAGGCAGCAGUGGGGAAUAUUGGACAAUGGGCGAAAGCCUGAUCCAGCAAUGCCGCGUGAGUGAUGCAGGCCUUAGGGUUGUAAAGCUCUUUUACCCCGGACGAUCCUGACAGUACCGGCAGCAUAAGCACCGGCUAACUCCGUG
Molecule: ribosomal RNA, 433 nt
Filed under: uncultured bacterium
Lineage: Bacteria
Description: partial 16S ribosomal RNA
Rfam family: Bacterial small subunit ribosomal RNA
Source: RNAcentral